Molecule: ribosomal RNA, 253 nt
Filed under: uncultured bacterium
Lineage: Bacteria
Description: partial 16S ribosomal RNA
Rfam family: Bacterial small subunit ribosomal RNA
Source: RNAcentral
UACGAAGGGGGCUAGCGUUGCUCGGAAUCAUUGGGCGUAAAGAGCGUGUAGGCGGCCAGAUAAGUCCGCUGUGAAAUCUCGAGGCUCAACUUCGAGCUGUCGGUGGAAACUGUCUGGCUAGAGUCCGGAAGAGGAGAAUGGAAUUCCUGGUGUAGCGGUGAAAUGCGCAGAUAUCAGGAAGAACACCCGUGGCGAAGGCGGCUCUCUGGGACGGUACUGACGCUGAGACGCGAAAGCGUGGGGAGCGAACAGG